This 430-nucleotide ribosomal RNA is filed under the name uncultured bacterium. RNAcentral's name for it is "partial 16S ribosomal RNA". It matches the Rfam family "Bacterial small subunit ribosomal RNA", at positions 354 to 796 of the family's 1533-position model. The record is from RNAcentral.
GUGGGGAAUAUUGCACAAUGGGCGCAAGCCUGAUGCAGCAACGCCGCGUGAGGGAUGACGGCCUUCGGGUUGUAAACCUCUUUUAGUAGGGAAGAAGCGAAAGUGACGGUACCUGCAGAAAAAGCACCGGCUAACUACGUGCCAGCAGCCGCGGUAAUACGUAGGGUGCAAGCGUUGUCCGGAAUUAUUGGGCGUAAAGAGCUCGUAGGCGGCUUGUCGCGUCUGCUGUGAAAACCCGAGGCUCAACCUCGGGCCUGCAGUGGGUACGGGCAGGCUAGAGUGCGGUAGGGGAGAGUGGAAUUCCUGGUGUAGCGGUGGAAUGCGCAGAUAUCAGGAGGAACACCGAUGGCGAAGGCAGAUCUCUGGGCCGUAACUGACGCUGAGGAGCGAAAGCAUGGGGAGCGAACAGGAUUAGAAACCCGAGUAGUCC